RNAcentral lists this ribosomal RNA (255 nucleotides) under uncultured prokaryote. RNAcentral describes it as "partial 16S ribosomal RNA". It matches the Rfam family "Bacterial small subunit ribosomal RNA", at positions 526 to 780 of the family's 1533-position model. The record is from RNAcentral.
CGGAGGAUGCAAGCGUUAUCCGGAUUUAUUGGGUUUAAAGGGUGCGCAGGUGGUUUAAUAAGUCAGUGGUGAAAGUCUGUCGCUUAACGGUAGGAUUGCCAUUGAUACUGUUAGACUUGAAUAUGGGUGAGGUAAGUGGAAUGUGUAGUGUAGCGGUGAAAUGCAUAGAUAUUACACAGAACACCGAUUGCGAAGGCAGCUUACUAAUCCAUCAUUGACGCUGAGGCACGAAAGCGUGGGGAUCAAACAGGAUUA